GCCCUCGUAGAUCAGUGGUCAGUGGUAGAUUUCCUCCUCGCAAUAAGGGACGGUAUAGAAGUAUUACGGAGGCAACGUGGGUUCGACUCCCACCGAGGGCA
Mycena maculata is the source of this 101-nucleotide non-coding RNA. NCBI's taxonomy places the organism in Eukaryota, Fungi, Basidiomycota, Agaricomycetes, Agaricales, Mycenaceae. The record is from the annotation of a GenBank genome assembly.